UGGGGAAUCUUGGACAAUGGGCGCAAGCCUGAUCCAGCCAUGCCGCGUGAGUGAUGAAGGCCUUAGGGUUGUAAAGCUCUUUCAGCAGUGAGGAUAAUGACGUUAACUGCAGAAGAAGCCCCGGCUAACUUCGUGCCAGCAGCCGCGGUAAUACGAAGGGGGCUAGCGUUGUUCGGAAUUACUGGGCGUAAAGCGCGCGUAGGCGGACCAUUAAGUCAGGGGUGAAAGCCCGGGGCUCAACCCCGGAACUGCCCUUGAUACUGGUGGUCUUGAGACCGGGAGAGGAGAGUGGAAUUCCCAGUGUAGAGGUGAAAUUCGUAGAUAUUGGGAAGAACACCCGUGGCGAAGGCGGCUCUCUGGCCCGGUUCUGACGCUCAGGUGCGAAAGCGUGGGGAGCAAACAGGAUUAGAUACCCCCGUAGUCC
RNAcentral lists this ribosomal RNA (424 nucleotides) under uncultured prokaryote. Its description in RNAcentral is "bacterial SSU rRNA". It matches the Rfam family "Bacterial small subunit ribosomal RNA", at positions 355 to 796 of the family's 1533-position model. The record is from RNAcentral.